GACGAACGCUGGCGGCGCGCCUAACACAUGCAAGUCGAACGAGCGAGAGAGAGCUUGCUUUCUCGAGCGAGUGGCGAACGGGUGAGUAACGCGUGAGUAACCUGCCUCUAAGAUUGGGACAACAGUUGGAAACGACUGCUAAUACCGCAUAAGCCCACGGCCCGCCUUCUAGCAGGGGGAAAAGUGGCAAUCCGCUUUGGGAUCGCCUCGCGUCAGAUUAGCUAGUUGGUGGGGUAACUGCCCACCAAGGCGACGAUGGGUAGCCGGACUGAGAGGUUGAACGGCCACAUUGGGAAUGAGGCACAGACCAGACUCGGACGGGAGGGAGCAGAAGGGAAUAUUGCAGAAUGGAGGAAACCCUAAUGAAGCGGCGCGGCGGAGAAGAAGAAGGGCUUCGGAUUGUAAACUCGUGUUGGUGGGGAAGAGAAUGACGGUACCGAACAAGGAAGUGACGGCUAACUACGUG
This 466-nucleotide ribosomal RNA is filed under the name uncultured bacterium. Its description in RNAcentral is "partial 16S ribosomal RNA". It matches the Rfam family "Bacterial small subunit ribosomal RNA", at positions 28 to 507 of the family's 1533-position model. The record is from RNAcentral.